UACGUAGGUGGCAAGCGUUAUCCGGAUUUAUUGGGUUUAAAGGGCGCGUAGGCGGAGUGUCAAGUCAGCGGUAAAAUUUCGGGGCUCAACCCCGUCGUGCCGUUGAAACUGACACCCUUGAGUGAGUGAGAAGUAAGCGGAAUGCGUGGUGUAGCGGUGAAAUGCAUAGAUAUCACGCAGAACGCCGAUUGCGAAGGCAUCUCACGAAUCCGCUAUUGACGCUGAUGCACGAAAGCGUGGGUAUCAAACAGG
Molecule: ribosomal RNA, 252 nt
Filed under: uncultured Bacteroidales bacterium
Lineage: Bacteria; Pseudomonadati; Bacteroidota; Bacteroidia; Bacteroidales
Description: partial 16S ribosomal RNA
Rfam family: Bacterial small subunit ribosomal RNA
Source: RNAcentral